RNAcentral lists this unclassified non-coding RNA (405 nucleotides) under soil metagenome. RNAcentral's name for it is "partial contains 5.8S ribosomal RNA, internal transcribed spacer 2, and large subunit ribosomal RNA". The stretch from base 1 to 121 matches the Rfam family "5.8S ribosomal RNA", at positions 35 to 154 of the family's 154-position model. The record is from RNAcentral.
GAUGAAGAACGUAGCGAAAUGCGAUAAGUAAUGCGAAUUGCAGAAUUCCGUGAGUCAUCGAAUCUUUGAACGCACCUUGCGCCCUUUGGCCAUUCCGAAGGGCAUGCCUGUUUGAGUAUCAUGAACACCUCAACUCUUUAUGGUUUUCCAUGAUGAGCUUGGACUCUGGGGGUUUUGCUGGCUCACAGUCGGCUCCUCUAAAAUGAAUCAGCUUACCAGUGUUUGGUGGGUAUCAUGGGUGUGAUAACUAUCUACGCUUGUGGUUUUUCCACCAGGUAACCUUCAGCAGUGGAGGUUCGCUGGAGCUCAUAGAUGUCUCUCCUCAGUGAGGACAGCCCUUUGAAUGUUUGAUCUCAAAUCAGGUAGGACUACCCGCUGAACUUAAGCAUAUCAAUAAGCGGAGGA